Molecule: ribosomal RNA, 425 nt
Filed under: uncultured bacterium
Lineage: Bacteria
Description: partial 16S ribosomal RNA
Rfam family: Bacterial small subunit ribosomal RNA
Source: RNAcentral
GUGGGGAAUCUUAGACAAUGGGGGAAACCCUGAUCUAGCCAUGCCGCGUGAUCGAUGAAGGCCUUAGGGUUGUAAAGAUCUUUCAGGUGGGAAGAUAAUGACUGUACCACCAGAAGAAGCCCCGGCUAACUCCGUGCCAGCAGCCGCGGUAAUACGGAGGGGGCUAGCGUUGUUCGGAAUUACUGGGCGUAAAGCGCACGUAGGCGGAUUGGAAAGUUGGGGGUGAAAUCCCGGGGCUCAACCCCGGAACUGCCUUCAAAACUCCCAGUCUUGAGUUCGAGAGAGGUGAGUGGAAUUCCGAGUGUAGAGGUGAAAUUCGUAGAUAUUCGGAGGAACACCAGUGGCGAAGGCGGCUCACUGGCUCGAUACUGACGCUGAGGUGCGAAAGCGUGGGGAGCAAACAGGAUUAGAUACCCCUGUAGUCC